Long non-coding RNA from Rattus rattus (black rat), 935 nucleotides. RefSeq lists it as uncharacterized. Lineage: Eukaryota; Metazoa; Chordata; Mammalia; Rodentia; Muridae. The transcript has 2 exons. The record is from RefSeq and is a predicted model, not a curated record.
CAUUGUUCUGUUAAGGAAAUUUCUUUCUGGCAGCGUGAGAGGGGCACUGCCUCCUACCCCCCUUCUGCCUCGGCAGAACAGUUGACCACAGCAGCAGCCGACUCCGGCUCGUCAUGUGCUUUCUCAUGUGAUGUAGGUCUGCGGCACUGUGGAGCAAUCGCAUUUGAGACUCGGCACUCGUGGACAGACGGGCGUUCAGGGACUGGGGAGUUUUUGGAGGGGGUGGGGAGGCCAAUAAACCAAGAAAACGUCAGAAAUAAAAGUCGCAUCAACUCCAGGGCUGCAUCACUGUGGGCACAUCAAGCUUCGUCCGGCUCACCUGCAUGGUUCCGGCUGACUCCCGCCUGAGAUGGCCCAUCGUACAACUAGAAUCCCAGAAUCUCCUGUCUGCACCCUGCCGAAGGACCUACUGCAAUCCCUGGCCAGGGUCUCUCACAGCCGGAUGGGGUCUUGGAAGACAGGGUGAAGUUGCAGAAGAUUGGGGUGGGAUGCUAGAGGCAUGUGAAGGACUUGGAAAGGGAAUUUAGGAAUACUAUACAUCAGUGCCCACCGAUGCUAUGCAUACAGGGGAGGGCAGCCGCAGCCCCUGACUCAUGCGCCUAACUCCGGCUGCUCUCUGGGAUUAGUCUGAGGGGGACAACCCAGGUCUGGAUAUGGUGGCAUUUUCCCAGAGAAUGGAACUGAAGAUGGAUGAACCAGGUACUUGCUGUGUCUGCCUGACAGGGCAGAGCUGGAGAAAUGGAAAGGGAGAAGAAGAGCUGCUGAGUGUCGUGAGAUUGUCUGCUGCCCUCUCUGCAGUCUUAGUCUAAGGAAGGAUGGCAUAAUGGAUCUGCCAGCACAUGCACGGAGGACCUGUAAAUUGCAAUGUGGAUGUCCCUGGUACUGUCAAGGAAGAAACUGAUGGGCUGGGUGACAAUACAGUGUCCCAGAGAAAA